CUCUGAUUCUAGCCAUGAAUGUUGUGAAGUCAGGGAUUCUAAGUCAGUAUCUUCUUUAACUAUAGCAAACUUAUUCUUUACAGAUCCAUUGAGGAAUUUGUUGAGUAGCUCCUUCCCCUUGGCUUCACUUAUAGCUUUGGCAGACAUACUUUACUGCUGUAAAAUAAUAAUGGGGUUGUUAGUUAAAUCACCUCCAUAUUCAACAA
RNAcentral lists this long non-coding RNA (206 nucleotides) under Mytilus galloprovincialis (Mediterranean mussel). The record is from RNAcentral. Lineage: Eukaryota; Metazoa; Mollusca; Bivalvia; Mytilida; Mytilidae.